CCCGUUCAACACCCCCACCCCACCCUAACCCCUAUCCAGCACCUCUCAACCCACCCCAGCCUUCGUCCAGCAUACACAAAUUUCAGCGCCACCUCACUCCAGCCGCCACGCUGUCUACCUACAUUAGCCAAAACAACAAUUUCUCCAUCAAUUUCUCUGUUCACCUGCCACCACCAUCAUGCGCCACCUCCUCAGCUCUCUCUGACACAGUUGAAAUUGAAAAAAGAAAUUAAUUUUCCCCACAAUUGAAAAAUAAAAAAUCAAUUUCUUUCUCAAAUUUCAGCAACCACCACUUCGAUUGGUUUCAAGGAAAAUUUGUGGUUUUGUUGAAGUUGGAGUAAUUGAUCUAGCUUGGAGGAUGCUGAAGAGGAAAGCAGCUAAACUGAAAAAUAGGAACAUAAGGAGCAUUGGCUUGAUGAGUAGACUAAACAGCUGCAAAGGAAAAUCUGGGACAAGUCAAAAGAAGCAAAGCCCAUCUAAUCUUGUUCCCCUCCCUCGAUUUAGCUUUACUUCCAAAUUAUUUAGCUCUACUUCCAGAUUGUAGGGCAGUUUAUUUUGCUACAGAGCCCACUACGUUCAUGUGACUCAAGAAUCAAUUGUUCAUGUGUUCCAGGAUAUCAUGCUAGCAUACAUUAUAAAGUUGCUAAUACAGAUGCUCUUAUGAUCCUAUUCUGAGCAAAACCAAGGACAUAAAAUUUUUUGAUGUCUACUUUAACUCUCAAUUCAUCUAUUCUUUUUUACUCUUUUGCAAAAACUUAAUAUAUACAUGUGGAUAUA
Capsicum annuum is the source of this 777-nucleotide long non-coding RNA. RefSeq lists it as uncharacterized. The transcript is spliced from 2 exons. NCBI's taxonomy places the organism in Eukaryota, Viridiplantae, Streptophyta, Magnoliopsida, Solanales, Solanaceae. The record is from RefSeq and is a predicted model, not a curated record.